Molecule: unclassified non-coding RNA, 423 nt
Filed under: fungal sp.
Lineage: Eukaryota; Fungi
Description: partial internal transcribed spacer region
Source: RNAcentral
ACAGGAAGCAGGCAUAGAAAACAUGGAAGUUGCAUUUAAUGGUAUCUAUGGACAGGGAUUGGGGAUCAUCGUUGCAUCGAUGACAGCUUUCCUGGUCGCCCAGCUGGUCGAUGUAUUUAUAUUUCAUCGCAUCAAAAAGAUGACAGGAGAAAAAAGGAUCUGGUUACGUGCCACUGGAUCAACUGUUGUAUCACAGCUUAUCGACAGUUUCGUGGUCUUACUGAUCGCUUUUUAUUUUUAUCCUAUGCUGGUCAAAGGACAAGGACAACCCUGGCCAUUCGACCAGUUAAUUGCAAUUUGUAUUGUGAAUUAUAUUUACAAGUUUAUUGUUGCUUUGUUGAUGACGCCUGUUAUUUAUUUGGUGCAUGGGUGGAUAGAGAAGUAUUUAGGACACGAGAAAGCGGCGGAGAUGAAGAACGCAGC